This 242-nucleotide ribosomal RNA is filed under the name uncultured bacterium. Its description in RNAcentral is "partial 16S ribosomal RNA". It matches the Rfam family "Bacterial small subunit ribosomal RNA", at positions 57 to 305 of the family's 1533-position model. The record is from RNAcentral.
GCAAGUCGUGCGAGUAGUUUACUACUAGCGGCGAACGGGUGAGUAACACCUAUCUAACCUACCCAUCAGAAUGUAAUUACACCGAGAGAUUGGUGCUAAUGCCGGAUAGCUAAUAUUUACUUAUGUUUAUAUUACUAAAGGCGCGUUUGCGCCGCUGAUGAAUGGGGAUGCGCAGCAUUAGAUAGUUGGUAGGGUAAAGGCCUACCAAGUCAACGAUGCUUAGCCGGCCUGAGAGGGUGAUC